RNAcentral lists this ribosomal RNA (490 nucleotides) under uncultured bacterium. Its description in RNAcentral is "bacterial SSU rRNA". It matches the Rfam family "Bacterial small subunit ribosomal RNA", at positions 28 to 505 of the family's 1533-position model. The record is from RNAcentral.
GAUGAACGCUGGCGGCAGGCUUAAUACAUGCAAGUCGAACGGUAACAUGUCGGAGCAAUCUGAUGAUGACGAGUGGCGCACGGGUGCGUAACGCGUAUGCAACCUACCCAUAACCGGAACAUAACGUUGAGAAAUCGGCGCUAAUAUUCCAUGUGUAUAUUUUGUGGCAUCAUAGAAUAUAUAAAGAUUAAUUGGUUAUGGAUGGGCAUGCGUAUCAUUAGCUAGUUGGUGGGGUAACGGCCUACCAAGGCUGCGAUGAUUAGGGGUUCUGAGAGGAUAACCCCCCACACUGGAACUGAGACACGGUCCAGACUCCUACGGGAGGCAGCAGUAGGGAAUAUUGGGCAAUGGAGGCAACUCUGACCCAGCCAUGCCGCGUGAAGGAAGACGGUCCUAUGGAUUGUAAACUUCUUUUAUCAUAGGACGUAACCGCGACGGGACGUCGUCCUCGUCCUCGACUAAGUAUAGUAGUAUAGUAAGUAAGACUACG